CUUGGCCAGAUUUAAGCUUAAGAUAUGCAGCAUGGUUAGAAUAACAAUACAGAUUGUUGGUUGACUAGAGUAACGCUUACGAUAUGUCGCAUGGCUAGAAUAACAAUACAAAUUACCGUUUGGCUAUGAUAACUUUAUAGAUUGCCGCUUGGCUUAAAUAACAAUAUAGAUUGCCGCUUGGUUAGGGUAACGAUUAAGAUAUGCCGCUUGGCUAUAAUAACUAUAUAGAUUGCCGCUUGGCUUAAAUGAUAAUACAGAUUGCCGCUUGGCUAGAGUAACGCUUAAGAUAUGCCGCAUAGCUAGAAUAACAAUAUACAGAUUGCCACUUGGCUAUAAUAACUAAACAGAUUGCCGCUUGGCUAAAUAACAAUACAGGUUGCCGCUUGGCUAGAAUAACAAUACGGAUUACCACUUAGCUAGAAUACCAUUGAAGGUAUGUUGAUUGAUUAGAAUACAAAAAAAAAAAUACCGCUUGGACAGAAAAACAACAUGUACGCUGAAUCAAUACCGCUGGGCUACAUGACACUGCUUGUUCAAGGUCAAUGUAAUGUAUCUGAAUGCUACAUGUCGAAUGUCUAUAAUAUGCCAUAACUUCAUAAGAUUUACACUUUACACUAUAGUACUAAGCUAGUUUAUUUUGGAUAUAGGUUCUUUAUACGGAUGAAUUAUUUUAUAAUUAUGGUUUCAAAGCUUGGUGCAUAGUUGGUGUAAACAUGACAGAUAGAUUUAUCCGAAUCUGCUAAAGAUGGAUAUGUGAAGGAAAACAUUAUUACUCAAUUAUCUGUAUCUCAGAAUUUAGGUAUUUAAUUAUAAUAAACUGAUCAUACAUUUGCCCGA
This 837-nucleotide long non-coding RNA is filed under the name Mytilus galloprovincialis (Mediterranean mussel). Lineage: Eukaryota; Metazoa; Mollusca; Bivalvia; Mytilida; Mytilidae. The record is from RNAcentral.